RNAcentral lists this ribosomal RNA (421 nucleotides) under Fusobacteriota bacterium. Its description in RNAcentral is "Fusobacteria bacterium partial 16S ribosomal RNA". It matches the Rfam family "Bacterial small subunit ribosomal RNA", at positions 355 to 777 of the family's 1533-position model. Lineage: Bacteria; Fusobacteriati; Fusobacteriota. The record is from RNAcentral.
UGGGGGAUAUUGCACAAUGGGCGAAAGCCUGAUGCAGCGACGCCGCGUGGGGGAUGAAGGCCUUCGGGUUGUAAACUUCUUUUGCUCUGAACAAGGCAUGCCUUUGGGGUGUGUUGAGUGUAGGGGUUGAUUAGCGCCGGCUCACUACGUGCCAGCAGCCGCGGUAAUACGUAGGGCGCGAGCGUUGUCCGGAAUUAUUGGGCGUAAAGGGCUUGUAGGUGGCUGGUUGCGUCUGUCGUGAAAGCUCAUGGCUUAACUGUGGGUUUGCGGUGGGUACGGGCUGGCUUGAGUGCAGUAGGGGAGGCUGGAAUUCCUGGUGUAGCAGUGGAAUGCGCAGAUAUCAGGGGGAAUACCGGUGGCGAGGGCGGGUCUCUGGGCUGUUACUGACGCUGAGGAGCGAAAGCGUGGGGGGCGAACAGGA